CUGCACGUCGAGGACUUGAGGAAGUCAAUGUAGUUCAAAAGCUGGAGAGCAGGUCUGGAGAGCUGGUUUGAUGAAGAAAGAUACCAUGAACUUGUGGAAUGACAAGGCAUAACUUUGAACUCUGAAGACAGGAUUGAAUUCUAAUUCUGCCACUUCUAAAUGCAUGCCAGCACAGACUUCUCAGCCUCUACGUAUAGACUUUUCACCCUCUGACACAGCAUUUCACUAGUGCCUGUACAUUGAACUUCCGGAUCUUCAAUCCAAUGCUACUGGAUCCCCCGCUUUGCAAGUUCGCAGUUUAUUCUGCAUUCUUCUCUCUGUGAUUCUGUGGAUAACUACAUGACUCUUUGCUUCU
Molecule: long non-coding RNA, 355 nt
Organism: Fukomys damarensis (Damara mole-rat)
Lineage: Eukaryota; Metazoa; Chordata; Mammalia; Rodentia; Bathyergidae
Exons: 3
Source: RefSeq, a predicted model, not a curated record